Small nuclear RNA from Cercocebus atys (sooty mangabey), 104 nucleotides. The record is from Ensembl. NCBI's taxonomy places the organism in Eukaryota, Metazoa, Chordata, Mammalia, Primates, Cercopithecidae.
GUGCUUGCUUUAGCAGCACAUAUACUAAAAUUGGAGCAGUACAGAGAUUAGCAUGGCCCUGGCAAAGGGAUGACAUGCAAGUUCGUGAAACAUUUCAUAUGUUU